This is a non-coding RNA of Acanthosepion pharaonis, 109 nucleotides long. The record is from the annotation of a GenBank genome assembly. Lineage: Eukaryota; Metazoa; Mollusca; Cephalopoda; Sepiida; Sepiidae.
UUACGACCAUAUCAUAUUGAAGCCCUAGCUCUAGAACGAUCACCGAAGUUAAGCAAUAUCGUGCUUAGUCAGUACCAAGAUUGGUGACCGCUUGGGAAUACCAGGUGCU